RNAcentral lists this ribosomal RNA (385 nucleotides) under Foraminifera environmental sample. Its description in RNAcentral is "SSU rRNA". It matches the Rfam family "Eukaryotic small subunit ribosomal RNA", at positions 1129 to 1445 of the family's 1831-position model. Lineage: Eukaryota; Foraminifera. The record is from RNAcentral.
ACGCACGGUGUAAACUUGAAGGAAUUGACGGAAGGGCACCACAAGAACGCGUGGAGCAUGUGGCUUAAUUUGACUCAACGCGGGAAAUCUUACCGGGUCCGGACACACUGAGGAUUGACAGGCAAUAUUAAAUAAAGAAAAUUUUUGGACUAUCUGAUAUUUAUGUUAAAUAUGCUAGUCCUUUCAUGAUUAUGUGAUAGGUGGUGCAUGGCCGUUCUUAGUUCGUGGAGUGAUCUGUCUGCUUAAUUGCGUUUCACUAAGGGCUUAUCUAAUUAUAACGUGUGUUGCUAGAGUUUUAUACCUUUGUGACCCCUUUAAUUAGUGUGUGUCUAUAAGGGUAGCUUUGGCUCACACAAUUAAGUCCUGAAAGCAACGAACGUGACCG